AGAAAUCACAAAAACAACUAAAUUUUAUUAUCAUAAUUUCUACAGCAAAAGAUUCUUUCUUUAAUCUAAAAACAGUAAGUUAUAGUAAAUGAAACUCAUGCUGGUUAAUGUUAGCAUGCUAACACUUGGCCAUGAUACUACCACCACCAUGCUUCACUGAUGAGGUCAUGAUACCACCACCACCAUGCUUCACUGAUGAGGCCAUGAUACUACCACCACCAUGCUUCACUGAUGAGGCCAUGAUACUACCACCACCAUGCUUCACUGAUGAGGCCAUGAUACCACCACCACCAUGCUUCACUGAUGAGGCCAUGAUACUACCACCACCAUGCUUCACUGAUGAGGCCAUGAUACUACCACCACCAUGCUUCUCUGAUGAGGCCAUGAUACUACCACCACCAUGAUACACUGAUGAGGCCAUGAUACUACCACCACCAUGAUACACUGAUGAGGCCAUGAUACUACCACCACCAUGCUUCACUGAUGAGGUUGUGAUACGACCACCACCAUGCUUCACUGAUGAGGCCAUGAUACUACCACCACCAUGCUUCACUGAUGAGGCCAUGAUACUACCACCACCAUGCUUCACUGAUGAGGCCAUGAUACUACCACCACCAUGCUUCACUGAUGAGGCCAUGAUACUACCACCACCAUGCUUCACUGAUGAGGCCAUGAUACUACCACCACCAUGCUUCACUGAUGAGGCCAUGAUACUACCACCACCAUGCUUCACUGAUGAGGCCAUGAUACUACCACCACCAUGCUUCACUGAUGAGGCCAUGAUACUACCACCACCAUGCUUCUCUGAUGAGGCCAUGAUACCACCACCACCAUGCUUCACUGAUGAGGCCAUGGUACUACCACCACCAUGCUUCACUGAUGAGGCCAUGAUACUACCACCACCAUGCUUCACUG
Acanthochromis polyacanthus (spiny chromis) is the source of this 915-nucleotide long non-coding RNA. RefSeq lists it as uncharacterized. The transcript has 5 exons. The record is from RefSeq and is a predicted model, not a curated record. NCBI's taxonomy places the organism in Eukaryota, Metazoa, Chordata, Actinopteri, Pomacentridae.